GGAAUAACAUUCUGAAAAGAAUGCUAAUACCGCAUAAUAUAUAUUUAUCGCAUGGUAGAUAUAUCAAAGAUUUAUCGCUUAGAGAUGGACUCGCGUCCGAUUAGUUAGUUGGUGAGGUAACGGCUCACCAAGACCGCGAUCGGUAGCCGGACUGAGAGGUUGAACGGCCACAUUGGGACUGAGACACGGCCCAGACUCCUACGGGAGGCAGCAGUGGGGGAUAUUGCGCAAUGGGGGAAACCCUGACGCAGCAACGCCGCGUGAAGGAUGAGGGUCUUCGGAUUGUAAACUUCUUUUAUUAAGGACGAAGAAAGUGACGGUACUUAAUGAAUAAGCUCCGGCUAACUACGUGCCAGCAGCCGCGGUAAUACGUAGGGAGCAAGCGUUGUCCGGAUUUACUGGGUGUAAAGGGUGCGUAGGCGGCUUUGCAAGUCAGAUGUGAAAUCUAUGGGCUCAACCCAUAGCCUGCAUUUGAAACUGCAGAGCUUGAGUGAAGUAGAGGCAGGCGGAAUUCCCCGUGUAGCGGUGAAAUGCGUAGAGAUGGGGAGGAACACCAGUGGCGAAGGCGGCCUGCUGGGCUUUAACUGACGCUGAGGCACGAAAGCGUGGGUAGCAAACAGGAUUAGAUACCCUGGUAGUCCACGCUGUAA
This 650-nucleotide ribosomal RNA is filed under the name uncultured bacterium. RNAcentral's name for it is "bacterial SSU rRNA". It matches the Rfam family "Bacterial small subunit ribosomal RNA", at positions 140 to 805 of the family's 1533-position model. The record is from RNAcentral.